AGGAAUUUUCAAACUCGUCCACUAAUAUCACAAAAGAAAAAUCAAAAAUUUCUGCGACUGUUUUAACAGGUAUAUUCGAAUGACCGUAAGAAAAAAGGGGAACUUCAAUAUGAAGAUUAACAACUGUAAAAUUAUUCUGCUUUUUAUAACGACACUUUGUGGUGUUGUUUAUUUUUGUUGAACAUAUUGACUGAAAAAUGUAGGCACGUAAAACAAUUUAGCCAUAAGCAAUGUCGGAUAAAACAACGGUUUUCUAUUGUAAGGAACGUGUUUAAAAAAGUCGAAACUAAAAACAAAGUUGGCAGAAAAAUAAAUCAGCGAUAUUAUGGAAAGAUGUUUUCGAUAAGUUGUUAACCCAUUUGAAAAAAACAUAACUGCAUUCUUAGUUGUUAUUUUUUUAUAUGGAUUAGACAAUUAUAGUCAGAGAGAUUGUAUAUUCGUUUUUGAAUGGGAACUGAUCGUAUAAAAACGCAGACAUUAUCGAGUGCAAAAUAAUAGUCCUUGGCGCUUCAAGGAAUACUCAUAAAAAACAUUUUUUAGAACAUAUUAAAAUAAUUUAAUUUUGGAUGUAACGCGUCUUCUGAUUGGCUGACGUUAUUUGUUAUGAGCCCAUAGACAUAAUUUAGUCAUGUGACCGUGACGUCAUCAACGUUUUUUAUGGUUUUCUACGAUUUAAAUGGAAUUAAGAAUUAAAUUAUAAGUAAUGACUGUAAUAUCUUUUCUGUCUAUUCGAAAUAAUAUAAAAAAUGUGGUGCACACUGUUAAAAAAACCGCUAAGCUUGUUAUUCAGUGUGCACCAAAUUUUUAAUGUUAUUUCUUCAUAGACAGAAAAAAUAUUACAGUCAUUCCUUAAUUAAUAAUAUGAAAAUGUUGUGUCGUUAGAAAUUUAUAUAGACAUUUGUAGGUACAAAAAUAUUUAUAUCUAUGCACAUGUACAUAAAUAUUGUGUUUACGAAUGCACAAUAUCUCAAGAAAGUUUUUGCGGGAAAAUAUGAAUGCCUACUUUAAUCCAAUCUAUAAGUUAAAUCGAAUUAUUACAGAAGAGUUUUCAACAUGCGCUUGCACUACACUAUAUUUCUAUUAUUAGAUUAUAGUAGAAUAGAAUGAUAUACAAACAGAUGAAAAUUGUAUAUACAGGUAAUUGUUAUAUACAAAUAUCAAUGUAAUAUGUAACAACAAACCAGACUGUACUGAUUUGUAUCACUACAAUAUAUUAGUGAUUACGGUGAGGUAACAUUCCUUAUCGUUUCAUAUAAAUUCAUUUCUUUAAUGAAUGCUCAGCAAAUACUUUUUAAAGAAGAUAAAUUAAUGAUAUUAAAAUUUUUGUUAUACGUAUGUAUAUAUAAGGAAAAAAUAAUAUCUAUGCACUCGCAUGCGGAAGAAUAUCCAAGAACGUUUGCAACCUCAAGGAACGAUUACUCUGCAUGGAUGAUUAAAUAUGUUUUGCCGGAUAAUACGAAUGCCGACUCAAAUCCAUUCGAGUUAUUACAGAAGAGUGAUGUGUCCACCAUGCACUUGCACUGCACUAUUUUUUAUGAAUGAUAUACAAAUGCAUGAAAAUCAUAUAUACAUGUAACUGUAAUAUACGAGUAUUAAUAUAAUAAAUAACAGUAAACCAGAG
This 1621-nucleotide long non-coding RNA is filed under the name Mytilus galloprovincialis (Mediterranean mussel). The record is from RNAcentral. Lineage: Eukaryota; Metazoa; Mollusca; Bivalvia; Mytilida; Mytilidae.